RNAcentral lists this long non-coding RNA (254 nucleotides) under Vigna radiata. RNAcentral describes it as "long non-coding RNA (VRAD_LNC010153)". Lineage: Eukaryota; Viridiplantae; Streptophyta; Magnoliopsida; Fabales; Fabaceae. The record is from RNAcentral.
AAAUAUGUUGAGUAUCUUGUCUCUUAAAGUUGUGUUCUAAAAAGAGAGAAAAGAAAAUAGACAAGAUGAAAAAAAAAAGAAAAAAAAUACAGAAAAAUGAGAAAAAUUAAAAAAAAAAUUGUGAAUAAUGGAGUCAAGAAGAGGAUUGAAUUAGAGGGUUUGGGUGUGAUUUGAUUGUAUUUUCACUUGUUCCCCAUUGCUCCUCUAUUUCUUUUGGUUUGUAGCUUCUUAUCCAUAUGUUAUCCUCCCUUGUC